CAUGCAGAAGUUUUUUUGUUUUCUUUUUUUUUUAUAAAUAAUAAACCUGUAAUCACUGCCUGUAAUACACGCCUGCACGCAUGACUUUACCCUGGUCACUUGGUUGCCAGAGGUUCUUGUAUCUUUCGCCUUAUUCCCGCUCGUAUUUAUUUUACGCGAGGCGAAGAGAACCUCUGGUGGCACGCGAUAUAACUGGUCACUUCCAUGCUGAGUUGCCCUCGGAGUUGCCGUUUGAGAACUUGCAAAACCUGUUUUAUAUUUUGUGACGUAUUUAAACUUCCGGGUUUGUCAUACUACCAAAAUAGCUCUAUUCACGUAUUCAGACUGUUUGGCAGCCUUUUAAAAACUGUACAACUGAGAAACCUUACAGGGAUAUUUAGGUGCAAAAAGGAUUGAGUGGAAGUUUAAUUUGGAGAGAGCUCCCUGGUGGGGUGGAUUUUUCGAUGCCGGAUAUCAAUGCCGGACGGAGUGGUUAGUGACGAGUCGCACGAAAACUACUGUAACAGACGGUUUAUCUUCCUUAUUUGAGAGAAUUCCACAGAGAGAAGCGAGAAAAUAGUGAAAGAGUUGUUGAGAAGGGUAAUGUUGUGAUUGUGUGUAUGAGGAUAAUGUGAAAAGGGGAAAAUGGAAGAUGGGUGAAGUUAAGGAGUUGAUUGUAGGAAGAGACGGUGUGGUUAGAGGUGCUAAGGUAAGGUUGGUGCGAAAAGGAAAGUCGGUCUUUCUCAGUCGUCCUGACCAAAAUUGAAGCACUUAUUUAAUCACGAUUGAAAGAUCCAGCUAAAGCUGAUAGGGUCGUGAUUUAGAUAAAGCUGAUAGGCCGAAAUGAUUGACCACUUACUCUUUUGCCUACAAAAAUAUCGACUUCACUCACUUAUUGCGAGUGAAUACCAACC
Non-coding RNA from Paramuricea clavata, 893 nucleotides. NCBI's taxonomy places the organism in Eukaryota, Metazoa, Cnidaria, Anthozoa, Malacalcyonacea, Plexauridae. The record is from the annotation of a GenBank genome assembly.